UACGUAGGUGGCAAGCGUUGUCCGGAAUUAUUGGGCGUAAAGCGAGCGCAGGCGGUUUCUUAAGUCUGAUGUGAAAGCCCCCGGCUCAACCGGGGAGGGUCAUUGGAAACUGGGAGACUUGAGUGCAGAAGAGGACAGUGGAACUCCAUGUGUAGCGGUGAAAUGCGUAGAUAUAUGGAAGAACACCAGUGGCGAAGGCGGCUGUCUGGUCUGUAACUGACGCUGAGGCGCGAAAGCGUGGGGAGCAAACAGG
RNAcentral lists this ribosomal RNA (253 nucleotides) under uncultured bacterium. RNAcentral describes it as "partial 16S ribosomal RNA". It matches the Rfam family "Bacterial small subunit ribosomal RNA", at positions 524 to 776 of the family's 1533-position model. The record is from RNAcentral.